CAGGUCUUUACCUAAAUAGCUGCAGCAGGGAAUGGGAAUGCUUCUGUGCCCUCAUUUCCCAACUGAGUUUCUAUUUGUGCUCUGCUUUCUCCCAUCUCCACCCCUUUUAUGAAUUGAGGGGGAGAAAUCCAGACCAUGCAGCCUGGUAAAAAGCCUUUUAGAAGGAAAAAUGGCUGCCUGGUAUCUUGAAGAUUUCAAAGUGGUUUCCUUGGAUUAACAGAAAUAUUCUGAACUCUACAAAGAAAACCAAAUCCUUUUCUGGGAACAGAAUUCUUCGACAUCCCAUCUCUGCUCAUCAGGGCACUUCCAUUCCAUCUGAUGAUGAACAAUAUAUGCCACCCAACAGUACAGGGCCCAGGAUGAUAAUGAUUCAGAGGCUGAUGAGCCCCAUCCCUUCCCAAUAGAAACGAGAUACAUCCAUGGAUCUGGAGGUCAAGAUGCCUCUGAGGCUGUAGGGGAUUGAAUAACAUUGAGUAAUUUCUGCCACAGGUAGUACUUGUCAUU
Molecule: long non-coding RNA, 504 nt
Filed under: Gopherus agassizii (Agassiz's desert tortoise)
Lineage: Eukaryota; Metazoa; Chordata; Testudines; Testudinidae
Description: lncRNA (ENSGAGG00000003298.1)
Source: RNAcentral